RNAcentral lists this ribosomal RNA (84 nucleotides) under Arctium lappa (great burdock). RNAcentral describes it as "partial 5.8S ribosomal RNA". It matches the Rfam family "5.8S ribosomal RNA", at positions 73 to 154 of the family's 154-position model. From Rfam's summary of the family: 5.8S ribosomal RNA (5.8S rRNA) is a component of the large subunit of the eukaryotic ribosome. RNAcentral also lists the same sequence under 4 other names. Lineage: Eukaryota; Viridiplantae; Streptophyta; Magnoliopsida; Asterales; Asteraceae. The record is from RNAcentral.
UGCAGAAUCCCGUGAACCAUCGAGUUUUUGAACGCAAGUUGCGCCCGAAGCCAUUCGGCCGAGGGCACGUCUGCCUGGGCGUCA